AUUGAACGCUGGCGGCAGGCCUAACACAUGCAAGUCGAACGGUAACAGGAAACAGCUUGCUGUUUCGCUGACGAGUGGCGGACGGGUGAGUAAUGUCUGGGAAACUGCCUGAUGGAGGGGGAUAACUACUGGAAACGGUAGCUAAUACCGCAUAACGUCGCAAGACCAAAGAGGGGGACCUUCGGGCCUCUUGCCAUCGGAUGUGCCCAGAUGGGAUUAGCGAGUAGGUGGGGUAACGGCUCACCUAGGCGACGAUCCCUAGCUGGUCUGAGAGGAUGACACGCCACACUGGAACUGAGACACGGUCCAGACUCCUAAGGGAGGCAGCAGUGGGGAAUAUUGCACAAUGGGCGCAAGCCUGAUGCAGCCAUGCCGCGUGUAUGAAGAAGGCCUUCGGGUUGUAAAGUACUUUCAGCGGGGAGGAAGGGAGUAAAGUUAAUACCUUUGCUCAUUGACGUUACCCGCAGAAGAAGCACCGGCUAACUCCGUGCCAGCCGCCGCCGUAA
RNAcentral lists this ribosomal RNA (506 nucleotides) under uncultured bacterium. RNAcentral's name for it is "partial 16S ribosomal RNA". It matches the Rfam family "Bacterial small subunit ribosomal RNA", at positions 30 to 523 of the family's 1533-position model. The record is from RNAcentral.